This 76-nucleotide transfer RNA is filed under the name Thermoproteota archaeon. Its description in RNAcentral is "Crenarchaeota archaeon tRNA-Pro". It matches the Rfam family "tRNA". From Rfam's summary of the family: Transfer RNA (tRNA) molecules are approximately 80 nucleotides in length. Lineage: Archaea; Thermoproteati; Thermoproteota. The record is from RNAcentral.
CGGAAUGUAGCUCAGCCUGGUUGAGAGCACCUGCUUUGGGAGCAGGGGGUCGCACGUUCGAAUCGUGUCAUUCCGA